CCACUUUGAAAUUCUAGCAAUUUUUUAAUUUACGUUCAUUGCUCCACCGAAAAACAUUUUUCCGCUCCACACAAAUUUACGUUCGUUCACCUAAAAGCAUCACUAUCAUCCCUCCACUGAAAAGCAUUCUUUCACUCCACAUUUAUUCCAUUCGUUCGCUCCAUAAUCUCCAAUCGGUUGAAGAAAGCAUUAUGUGAACGGUUGAAGAAGGUUUCAAUCGGUUGAAGAACAAGUUCCUAUUUGUUUAAAUGCUAUGUCUUAUUCAUGUGCCUCAUCUUCUUCUUCAGGAAAAUUUGUUCCUCCGCAAAUAAAACCUAAAAAAAAAAAAUAUUCAAAUAGUUGCAAAAAUGUGAUUGAGGCAUCAUUACAAUUCUAAAAUUUAAAUUCAAAUUCUAAUUAAAAAUACAUAUUAUGUAUUAUUUAAUAAAUUAUUUAAAAAAAAUUUUAAAAAUUGAAAAUGUCUUAUUUGACAUUAUUUUAGGGGAAACGUCUCAACUUUAAAUUCAAAUUGUUAUUAAAAAUAUAUAUUAAGUAAUUUUAAUAAAUUGUUUAAAAUAUAAACAUGCUGAAAAUCUUGUAUAUAUAUUUCAUUAUUAUAAGGAAGGUUGUUGCAAUCUUGUUCAGCAACAAAAUAACAGAUUUAGUUAACAUUUACCAAAUUUGAAUGUUUGCAAAAUACACUGUCUUCAUGCUCUUUCCAAUAUCUUGUCUUAUUUUUUUGAGUUAUUCAAAUACAUUGUGUUUGAAAUAUAUAGAUUAUUAUAUACCCCGGUGAAUGAUACUAUAUCUUAUGACAAUUUUUUUUACCUUUUUAUGUGUGUCCCAAAUUUGUCAUCAUUCAUACUUGACAUAUACUAUGUUUGAGAAAUCUUUAUUCUUAUUGUUUGUUUUGUAACAAACCUAUCUUAAUGUUCGGUUUUUUGGAUUGAAAAAGUAUAUGAUUAUAUGAAGAAAAAAAAAUAUUAAUAUUUGAAUAUGUGAUCAUGAUAUAGAACGAAUAGUUUAUCACAUUAUUUAAAAGCAUAAAUUUCAAUAUAAUUGUGUCAGCAAUAUAUGUUAUAUAGUCUGUCAAAUAUUGUGGAACUAAUCUGAAAAGAGUAAUAUUGUCAUGUAGUAUGUAUAAAUACAUUAUAACUCUAUAGAAAAUCAACACAACCAAACAGGGCUAAUUUAACCAAUAAUUUGAUCUUGUUAAAUUAAGAAAUAAAAAAAUAAAAAAACAAAACAAAUGGAACAAAUUAAAUAUAUUCACAAAUGGAAGAUAUUCUUGAAUUUUUUAAAUUUGUGGAGUUGAAGAUGAAUAGAAAGUCUGAAGAACUAGGAAACAAAUUGUACAUAAUUUUUUAAGAAAUCAAGAGUAAGUGCAACCUAGUUUUUCGGGUGCACAAGAGACUAACAAAUAUAUGAUAAGCAUGUGAUAUAAACUGAUAUUUUCUUUUAUGAUUUUGUGUACAUGUAACUGGAUGUUAAAAUAAAUUGUAUUUGGAAUGCAGGGAACAAGAGACUUUGAGGAGCACCUUGACAGAGUAGAAGAGGACAAAGAAGAAGAGAAGGAACAAAAGGAUCAAGAUGACGAACUGAACUUGGAAUCAAGCCAUCUAAAAGUGCUUAGGAAAAAGAUGACGAUCUUGACGACGAAGGAAAGGGAAACACAGCUGAAAAUAGGAAUCAAACUUUUGGAGGGUCGGAUGGUGGAUAAACGUAACUAAAUUAAGCACAUUAGAAACAAUACCUACCAUUCAAGGACAAGAGGGAGAUGACUCACAAUAUAAGGAAAAGAAAUAAAGAACCCAAUAUAAACAACAUGUUCAUAAUGUUUAGAAUACAUCUUAAGUAACUAACAUGUAUACAAAAUUGUAAUGGGGGCACAGAGGAUACUAAGGAAGAAAUCAACAUGUUGAUAAGGUCAAUCGACGAAAAAGUUAUAUAUGAUGAAAUGAAGAAAAAAGAAGAUUAGAUGAAAAUGGUAUAGUACUGUAUGUUUGGCAUAUGUUUGUUAUAAUGAACGACUAUUAAAUUUAAGAAUUGUGGAUCCAAUUAUAGUGUAUUUGUAACUCUGCCUGCGUAAAUUAGGUUAAUUAUGUUGUCAUCAAUGAGAUGUAUAUAUUUUUGUUAUGAACAAAUUGGACCUAUUUGUUAUCAUCGAUGACUUGUAACUUUUAAGAACUGUGUAUUUGAAUUCUAGAAAAUUUAUGGUUUGAGUACUUUAUUGAUCAGAUAAGUAAUGUGUAUGUAAAUUAUAUAGUAUUUGACGUACUGAACUUACUUAUGUGAAUUUCAAUUACGAUAAAAUUUUAAAUUCAAAGUGUUAUUAACAAUAUGUAUUUUUGAAGGUAUUUAAAUUCAAAAUUUUCUAUAAAUAUUUUGAAAUAUAAAUAAUUUGAAAAUAUUACGAAAAUGUUGAAUUUAUGUUUGUCAUUAUUUUAGGAAUAUGAUGUAAUAUUUGAAGUCAAGAUAUUAUAAAAUAACAAGGUUGAAAUUUUGUUAGCCAUUUCCAUACGUGCUAUUGUAUAUUAUCUUAUAAUUUUUUUAAAAUAAUUUAAAAUAUACAUAAUAUGAAAGUGUUGAAUUAAUGUCUACCACUAUUUUAGAGAUAAUGGUACUAUUUGAAUUUAAAAUAUUAAAAAAUAUAAUGAAUCAUGAAUAGUUAAAAACAUGUAUUAUCUACCUAAAUGGAUAUUAACGGAUAAAAAAAAGUUAAAUUUUGGAAUCACAAGUUUUAAGAAAAAUCUUAAUAUUUUUUCGAUUGGUUAUUUUUUAGUUUAUUACGAUAAAAUUUGUUAUUCUCAUUAUUAUCUUAAAAUUUUAUUUUCGCAAAAUGCUUCUCAAUUAUAAAAAUCCCACAAUCUGAUAGACAAUAAAAAAUAAAAGUGAAAUUAUGAAAAAAGAAUAAAAGAUACCCACAGUUGAAUUAAAACGUCCAACAAAAAAAAUAUAAAUAGCAAAAUGUUUUUGAAUUAUAAAAAUUGCACAAUCGGAUAGAAAAUAAAAAAUAAAACUGUGAAAUUAUAUAAAAAAAAAUACCCUCACUUGAAUUUACAAGUCCAACAAUUUAUAGAGUUUUAAACCAUUAAAAAACACCAAAAUAUUCUAUAACUAAAUUAAAUACCACUAAAUUUAGAGAGUUUUGUUAUUCUCAUAAAUAUUCCAUUUAUCUAGGAAUAUUUCUUUUUCUAAGUUUGUGUUCAUAAAUAGUUAUGGAUCCUUUAUCAUUGUCAGUCAUACUAUAUUUUUUAAACCAUGUUGAUGUGGAAUAUAACAAGUGUAGAUAGUAGUGAAUAAGAAGUUUUGAGACUAAUCACAAAUUGCUACAUCACUUAUUAAAAUAAUGAUGAAAAGUGCAAAUAAUUAAAUUUGAGACUAAUUAAAAUUGACAUGUGCCCCAAAUUAAAGAAUUGAAAACAUAAAUUGGCCAAUUCUAAUAAUGGCACAUGUUUUCAUCUUAACUAUUGGAUUAAGAUAAUCAUUUUGGUUCAAUUAAAUAUUAUUUACUUGGACUAAGUUCAAUUAAGCCUAAAAAUAAGUUUAAUUGAGCCCAAAAACUAAAUAUUACCCAAAUCCAUGUGAUUGAGCCCAAGAGUCUGGUUCAUGGACCAACCAAGCUCAAGCCUAUAAAGCCCACCAGUGAACUCUAUAAAUAGAGAAGUUCUUAUUUGAAAAAGUUGGAAAUUUUUUACUCCAGAAGGUCUAGAGAUAAUUCUCCCAAGAGACAGAAGACUCCUUAACUCCUGAAGUCGACUAACCUCAAAGAUUGAAGCUCAUUUGAAGAUACAAGCUUUCUUCUAAGACUCUAACUUCCCUCGAAGAUUGAAGCUCCUUUGAAGAUACAAACUUUCUUCCAAGACUCAAACUUCAAGAACAUCACAUGCUCCGCUUCCUCAAAUCAAGCGUAGACAUUCAGCUAACUUAAAGAACAUCGCGUGCUCCGCUUCCCUAAAUCAAGCAUAGACGUUUAAGAAACUUCAAGAACAUCACCUGCUCCGCUUCCUCCAAAUCAAGCGUAAGCAUCCAGUCGAGAGAGAAUCAGAUGAUCAAAUUCUAGAGAUCGAACCACAUCGCAUCAAAUCAACAAAAAUACAACAUCAACACUAGUUCAAUACCACGAAUCAAAUUUCUCCAAAAAUCUCGUGCGUACAGAUAAUAUAGAAGAUUCUCCUUUAGAUGUUUUUUAUUUUUAAAGUAACUUGGAAGACUUUUAAGUUCCUUUUGGAUACAGAUUGAGAGAAUUGAAUAUGACUUCGAAAUUGAUAAUACAAACAUCAUGUUAAUUGAGAUAUGCUUAUCUAAUUACCCUCGACUAUCUUACAUAUUUGGAGUGUCACACCUCAUUCUAGAGUCUCUCCUCACUAAGCCCAAGAUGGCGGCAUGAAGUCGACCGACAUCAUUCUCCUUCUAACAAUAUCUAUCGACCCUGCUUAACCUAAACUUAAAACUAUCUCUUUGUAAACACACACUGUGAAAAACAUCUAAAACCUAAAAAUAUAAAACUUCAUAACAUCUUUCCAAUGGACAACCUGUUUAAACAAGUCUUACAUAGACGUAAAUGAAAUUAGAAUCUCAAGAACACAAA
This 4570-nucleotide long non-coding RNA is filed under the name Cucumis sativus (cucumber). RNAcentral's name for it is "long non-coding RNA (CSAT_LNC001064)". Lineage: Eukaryota; Viridiplantae; Streptophyta; Magnoliopsida; Cucurbitales; Cucurbitaceae. The record is from RNAcentral.